GUGGGGAAUUUUGGACAAUGGGCGCAAGCCUGAUCCAGCAAUGCCGCGUGCAGGAAGAAGGCCUUCGGGUUGUAAACUGCUUUUGUACGGAACGAAACGGUCCUGGUUAAUACCCGGGGCUAAUGACGGUACCGUAAGAAUAAGCACCGGCUAACUACGUGCCAGCAGCCGCGGUAAUACGUAGGGUGCAAGCGUUAAUCGGAAUUACUGGGCGUAAAGCGUGCGCAGGCGGUGCUGUAAGACAGGCGUGAAAACCCCGGGCUUAACCUGGGAAUUGCGCUUGUGACUGCAGUGCUGGAGUGCGGCAGAGGGGGAUGGAAUUCCGCGUGUAGCAGUGAAAUGCGUAGAUAUGCGGAGGAACACCGAUGGCGAAGGCAAUCCCCUGGGCCUGCACUGACGCUCAUGCACGAAAGCGUGGGGAGCAAACAGGAUUAGAAACCCCAGUAGUCC
Molecule: ribosomal RNA, 450 nt
Filed under: uncultured bacterium
Lineage: Bacteria
Description: partial 16S ribosomal RNA
Rfam family: Bacterial small subunit ribosomal RNA
Source: RNAcentral